AACAAACGCUGGCGGCGUGCCUAACACAUGCAAGUCGUACGAGAAAGUCGGCUUCGGCCGAUGAGUACAGUGGCGCACGGGUGAGUAACGCGUGGGUAAUCUGCCCCCCGGUCAGGAAUAACCCGCCGAAAGGCGGGCUAAUACCCGAUAACACUGACGCUCUGCGGAGUGUCUUUCAAAGAAGGCCUCUGUUUACAAGCUUUCGCCGGAGGAUGAGCCCGCGUACCAUUAGCUAGUUGGCAGGGUAAUGGCCUACCAAGGCAACGAUGGUUAGCUGGUCUGAGAGGAUGGCCAGCCACACUGGAACUGAGACACGGUCCAGACUCCUACGGGAGGCAGCAGUGAGGAAUCUUGCGCAAUGGGGGAAACCCUGACGCAGCAACGCCGCGUGAGUGAGGAAGGCCUUCGGGUCGUAAAGCUCUGUCAGAUGGGAAGAAAUGGGUGGGGGCUAAUAUCGUCCAUCCUUGACGGUACCAUCAGAGGAAGCACCGGCUAACUCCGUG
Molecule: ribosomal RNA, 503 nt
Filed under: uncultured bacterium
Lineage: Bacteria
Description: bacterial SSU rRNA
Rfam family: Bacterial small subunit ribosomal RNA
Source: RNAcentral